Molecule: long non-coding RNA, 1145 nt
Organism: Bos taurus (domestic cattle)
Lineage: Eukaryota; Metazoa; Chordata; Mammalia; Artiodactyla; Bovidae
Source: Ensembl
CAAGUCGAAAAGAUCUUUUAACUAAGAAUUGGCAAGGAAGUCUGGAUCCAUUUCUGAUCUGUUAGUAGGGCAUCUUUUUUCAGCUACCUCCAUAUCAGGCCAAAGAGUAUCUGAGGGAGGAUUAGUAAUUGGAUAUUUAGCCCUUCACAUGUAGGUCAUUAAGCUCAGGCUGGCAUAGUGAUGUGCCAGAACUUUCAACAGCUGUUCAGUUGCCCCUCAGGGAUCUGUUUUAUGAAUAAUUAUAUAUUUUUCAGGGCUAAUACCUGAUAGCCUUAUUAAAACAAAAAUUUUAAGUUACUUACAUGUUUUCUUUUGACAUAGCCCUUUUUAUAGUCAUAGGAUGUGAAUUUUAAAAUGAUUCUAGUAUCAUCCAAAGCAAGCACUAGCAAAAAAUGGACAAUUUAACCAAACAUACAGAAAGCAUAUAGAAAAUACAGGAAGGCAAAAACCAUAAUAUGAAACAGUAUUAUUUUCAUUAAUUUGUAAAACUCAUUUAUUUAUUUGACAUACUUAUUGAGUCCCAUGUUUUUCUGUCUUAGUAUUGUUGAUACAAAGAUAACUAAAUCGUGAUCUUUGUUCUUGAGGAAUCCUUAGUCUAGUGGGAGAGCUGGUGUUAAAUAUCAUACAGUAUAAUGUACUUGAGAUGCCUGUACAUGGAAAGGAGCAACUAAAUGUUCCUGGAGGUGAGUGACAUAGUUUCAGAAACUGAAUAAUUUGUUCUAUCUUAGAAAGUAAAUAGAAGUUCUCCAGUUAUCAAGAUGGAAAAGUAUUUUAAAUAUUGGGAACAGUGAAAACAAAGGCAUGUCAUAGUUUGGUACAUGACUGAUAAGCAGUGGGUAGGAUGAGAAAGGAGGAGGAAAGACUGACCCUAAGGGUUUUUCUAAUUUAGACAACUGUGUUAGCCCCUCAGUCAUGUCUGACUCUUUGUGACCCCAGGGACUGCAGCCUGCCAGGAUCCUCUGCCCUUGGGAUUUUCCAGGAAAGAAUACUGGUGGGUUGCCAUUUCCUUUUCCAGGGGAUCUUCCCAAUUCAGGGAUUGAACCUGGGUCUCCUGCAUUGCGGGCAGAUUCUUUACCAUCUGAGUUCUAAUUUGGACAACUGUAGGAAUGUAAUUCUGUUAACUGGAUCAUUUGGCAAAUAGUAGA